GGAUCUUGUGCGAUUUUUUUUAGUGUUUGGAAAACUAUUGUUUGUGCAGUGCUUUGAGGAGGGGCUUUUUUCAGCAUUUUUGAUAAGAGAGAAAUGUAUUUAGACACAUGUGGAAUACAAUUUCUCAGAUAGUUGAUAAUUCCAAGAAACUGUUGGAUUUGUUUAAUUAUCAAAUCCUUAUAUGGAAACUUUAAUAAUUCCUCAGCAAUGUGGGGUCUAGG
This 221-nucleotide unclassified non-coding RNA is filed under the name Hevea brasiliensis (rubber tree). Lineage: Eukaryota; Viridiplantae; Streptophyta; Magnoliopsida; Malpighiales; Euphorbiaceae. The record is from RNAcentral.